GAACAGUUUUUCCAUUACAAGAUCUUUUGACUAACAAAGUCUUCUCCUCAAACUUCAUUGUAUCCUAGAAGCAGACUGGGAUUGAUGGAUUGCUUCUGCCAAAAAAGAGCACCAGAAUUCCUCACUGGCUAAAGGCUAACAGCCCAGGAUUAGAAUUCUUAAGCUUGCUCCAUCAGAUCAUCUCUUCUGGGCUGUCAAGAGGAUUAUAAUGAGG
This is a non-coding RNA of Zonotrichia albicollis (white-throated sparrow), 214 nucleotides long. The record is from RefSeq and is a predicted model, not a curated record. NCBI's taxonomy places the organism in Eukaryota, Metazoa, Chordata, Aves, Passeriformes, Passerellidae.